Lolium perenne is the source of this 2268-nucleotide long non-coding RNA. RefSeq lists it as uncharacterized. The record is from RefSeq and is a predicted model, not a curated record. NCBI's taxonomy places the organism in Eukaryota, Viridiplantae, Streptophyta, Magnoliopsida, Poales, Poaceae.
CACCGCCGGAGUUCAGCCGCGCUUCCCUCCAUCGCGCCUACAUACCUCGUCGCCGGCCGUCCCCAACCUCCUACGCUACCACAUCUCAACCUCCAUCCACCGCAAGCCAGCAUCCCCAACCUUCUGUGACGGCGCCGACACAUCUCUGCUCUGGCCAAGUUCCUGCACCGGCAGAUCCGUCCGCCAUGCCGUCGGUUUCCCCACCACCUGCCAGUUACAGCCCCCUUUGAGUUCCCUCACCCCCGGCCGCGCGCCCAGGAUCCGUGCCUCCCUUAUCGGCAAUUUUCUCGCCCCACCAUGGCCGCCCGGCGCAGCUCCCUCCCUGCUGCAAUUCCACCUUCACCUCGCCUGCACCUGUUCCAUCUAGAACCGCACCGUGAGUGUGAGGCCCGGCCACCACCACAGAUGCUCCAAUAAAUUGAUUUCUCUCAGCCCUGCUCACAACUCCCUUACGCGCGCCCAAAAUUCCUGCCUCCCGCACUUGUACUUUCCUAACAACAACGUCUGCACUUAGCUGCAGAGAAUAGAUGCAAGAGGAAUUGUUCUCAACCAGGAGCACAGGAAAGGCAGGUCGAAGCAGCAUAGGUUUGAGCACGAUCAGCCGCAGCCCAAGGAAUAGAUCACAAGUUUCACAACUUAUUUGCUGCUUCCGCAUGUAAUUAAAUGUGAUGUGCGUCCAACGAAUGUAAUUUGAUGCAUCCUGUAUUCACUCGCAUGCGUAAGUUUGUGUGCGCAUAGCCUGUUUGUGACAAUGCCUAAUAGGUUGAGAAUAGAAGCACGUUCACCUUUAUUUGGCCUUGGCAUCGCUAACUUAUAGCUUAUUGUUGUCUUCCAUCUAGAUGCGAGAAUAGACACACAUGUUAUUUCUUAUUUGCAUAUUUAGUUCCCCAUCAAUUUGUCCCUAUUUAUAACAAUCAGUAUAGCAUAUAGUAGAGGGGCUGCUAGUGCUUUUGUUUAUUUUAUCUGGUUGAAUUCCUUAACUAUGCUCCUCCCUCUAUUUCUAGAAAAAUCUGCUCAAUUUUACAUAGCAGUGGACUUAUGUGCGGCGGAAGCUUUAGGCACGCGCCGCCGCCGAAUCGAUCCGAUGGAGGCGCCUAGGAAGACCCUGGGCUUGGAGCUCCACAAGGAUCCGGGCACGGUCCAGCCGAUGCUGCAGGUAGAGGACGUGCGCAGUCAAGGGCGCGGCGGGAGCGGAGCAGUCGGAGCGCUUCCGGAUGCUGGUCUCUGACGGCGCCCACUCUCUGUAGACCAUGCUCUCCAUGACUCCACCGACCUCAACCGCCUUGUCACGGACGGCUCCCUCCGCCACAGGUCGAUCGUCCACCUUCUGCAUAUCAUGUGAAGCGACAUCAGGGCCGCAGCAGAAUAAAAAGCUCAAGGAUGUGGAGAUUUGUUUUCUCAUCGUUUAUGGAACCAUUUCUAUUUGGCUUUGUAAAAAAUCUAGCGAGUAAGCACUUAUUUGAACCUGUGGCAUAUUAUCUAUCGGUGAGUAAACACGAUGGUUGAUGCACCGAGUUGCAGAAGCAAAAGAUUGCUUCAUAACAACAUGAGCCGACAGGGUGGACAAGAAUCUUCAAAGUUAUCUUUAUGCGCCAACUGGUCCAUUUUAAGUUUUCAUUCUCUAGUACUCUAGUAUGUGGUUCACUGAAUAUUAACCAUAAGUACAGUUCAGGUUUCGAAAGCACCAUAAGUGUUGCUGCUACUCAGCGAUGACGAGUAUGGAUUUCAGAAGAAGCUGCUAUCCUGGAGCUUUUGCUCCUUCUGCUGACCACGAUGGCCUCCUCGCCGCCUCCAUGAGGGCCGCGACCUCCCCAGGUCUCCUCCACCGCCGGCAAGAGCUGCCCCUGCUCCCAAUCGACGGGGCACGUGCCGCUCGGCCCUGCCACGGUCCCCUAUCACCGAUUCCUCGCCGUAGGAAGGCCCAACGCCGAUUGGGAGCCCCGGGGAACAGCGCAGUUCUGUCAAGAAGCAGUUCAGUUUAUUGUAAGUAAAAUACAGGAAGAGCAGCUGGUCUGCAGGUCCAACACACGUAUAGAAAAUCGGUAAGGGAAAAAAAUCAGAUGAAAAACAAUAGAUGUUCAGAGGCACAUGGGUGAGAAAAGUAAAGUAUACAUGUAUAGGCAGUGCAAGUUGGUGCAUGUGGAAAGUUCAUGUGCUAGCCUUUUUACAGGAGAACACACAAAGUAUACUACACACAGUUUUCCUUUUUCUUUUUACGAAGUACAGGUUAUCAAAAUAAGGAAGCACAAAAACGUCAUUCAAUAAGUA